GACGAACGCUGGCGGCGUGCUUAACACAUGCAAGUCGAACGGUGAAGCACCUUCCUUUUGGUGGGUGUGGAUGAGUGGCGAACGGGUGAGUAACACGUGAGUAACCUGCCCCCUUCUUCUGGAUAACCGCAUGAAAGUGUGGCUAAUACGGGAUAUUCUGGGUCUGUCGCAUGGCGGGCCUGGGAAAGAUAUUGUUUCGGUGGGGGAUGGGCUCGCGGUCUAUCAGCUUGUUGGUGGGGUGAUGGCCUACCAAGGCGGUGAUGGGUAGCCGGCCUGAGAGGGUGGACGGUCACACUGGGACUGAGACACGGCCCAGACUCCUACGGGAGGCAGCAGUGGGGAAUAUUGCACAAUGGGCGCAAGCCUGAUGCAGCGACGCCGCGUGAGGGAUGGAGGCCUUCGGGUUGUAAACCUCUUUCGCCAGUGAAGCAGGCCUGUCCCUUUUGUGGGUGGGUUGACGGUAGCUGGAUAAGAAGCGCCGGCUAACUACGUG
This 493-nucleotide ribosomal RNA is filed under the name uncultured bacterium. RNAcentral describes it as "partial 16S ribosomal RNA". It matches the Rfam family "Bacterial small subunit ribosomal RNA", at positions 28 to 507 of the family's 1533-position model. The record is from RNAcentral.